Molecule: long non-coding RNA, 1973 nt
Organism: Microplitis demolitor
Lineage: Eukaryota; Metazoa; Arthropoda; Insecta; Hymenoptera; Braconidae
Exons: 5
Source: RefSeq, a predicted model, not a curated record
AAAAAAAAAACAUCGAAUAUAACUUUUCUUCAAUAAUAAAAUUUAGUAACAAGAUUAAUUAAGUAAUUUAUGUAACGUGCCCAAGGACCACCUCCGUUCUACCGGAGGCUGUUUCUGCGCCCUUUUAAGUAAACACGCGCUGCGAAGUCAUCCCAUCUUUCAACCCAGACGACACUCUUAACCAAAAAAUAUAAUCAAGUUACGACUAAGAUGGACAUUACUCGGAGCUAUAAUCAAAACCGUCAUUGCAUGCGGUAUCUAGCUACAGCCACCACGAGUCUUUCUUCUGUCAGCCAAACACUAUGACUAUCUUAGAAAAUAAAGAGAUACUGAUUGGCGUAAGCUUGAAAAGGCUUCCCAUGGUACCAGUCUCCCAGCUGUGGUCAAUAUGAUUGCUUAUCUAUACGUGGUGGGACACAAUUUCUCCUCAUAUCCCGUUUAAAGGGCUUUAUUCACUUGUUAUCUUCCGGGUCCCCAACAAGCUAUUAUCCACUUGUUCAGUCCCUGAUAAAGUUUCUCCUUUCCAAGUUAAGAGACGCUUCAAGUACCAAGGUUAUGCAAAAGCACAUGAAAUAAUUUUUAAUUGUUAAAAAAAAAUCUAGGCAAUGUUUGGUCCUGCGGAGCAGUUCUAAAACUUCGCGUUGAUUUCAAUCUCAAGAAACUCGAAAACACUGAUGUAAAACAAUUUUCACGCCCCUCGAGCUCAAGAAUUCUUUUCACUGCAAUUGUUUUCUCGUAGAUUUUCAAGCUCAAUUAAGUGACGUUGUAUGUUAAAGUUUAAAAAUUUAUGAAUCAAACAUAAUUAAUGAACAAACAUUUUUAAAUUUUCAUUCACGAUUAUGCUCAAGAAAAUAAUUGUAUUUAGACAGAAAUCAAUGUAAAUGACCAAAAUAUGGAUUGAAGUAAAUGUUGACUUAGAUUAGCUGGUUAAUAUAUUGAAACCAAAAAAAAAUCUUAAAAAAGGUUUACUUUGAUUCUUUCGAUCAUGAUAUUAUCCAAACUAAAGAACGAGUUGCAUCACAUUACGUAGUAAUUGAAGGAAACUAAGGAAACGAAAACCUGGUAUGACUUUUGCUCCAUUUAGUAAAUUUGAUUUUAAGUUAUCGAAAAAACAACAAGGUAAAUUGAGGAUUUUUUAAAUUUGUCGACAACAAUUGUGACAACAAUGCCUUUUGAACCAAAUAAUCGGUUGUGACGUUCAAUGCAGCGAUUGGGGCGUUUUAUUUAGUCCUAUAGCUGGCAGGAUUGAGAAAUCUAUCAAGUCACUUCAAACAUGAUUCAAAAAAUAUGUUUUUUACUAUUUUAUUCCUGAGUGAAACUGUCGCCGCCAUUUUUAUGACUUAAAACACUAAUGGCGUCCUCAAAAAGCUCGGAGAUAAGUGAACACUAGGUGACAAAUGAGGACAAAUGUAUAUAAUGGCUUGUCUCAAAUCCUUAGUGAUUAUAAGUGGAGGUAACCCGUAUGGGUUGGGAAGAACUUGCAUCCCACCACUAAUCCUAAGCAAGUGGUUGACCAGAGUUGAAGUUUGGUACAAUGGGAGACCCAUUCCGAGCUCCACUUUGAACAGAGUCUCUCUAUUUCCUGAGAUGGGAGGAGUGUUUGGGUCCAUGAGAGGUCGGACUCGUGGUGGCUGUUGGUAAGGCACCCACAUGGACUGCAUGCCUAAUGGAUUUUGAUUUCUUAUAACUUAUAAUUACGAAUCAUUAUCAACCAUUUCUCUAAUAAUGGACUUCCAAAUGAUGUUUCUUAUUCUAUUAAUAGUAUUCUCAAUUAUUAACGCUGGUGCAGUGGCAAUUGCUGCCAAUUAUAUCAGAUAUGGUCCAAUUAACAAUGACGCAAAUUUGUAAUAUGGCAAACAGUAAUCCAGGAAGGAAAAAAUUAUGUGCAAGAUGCUGUUGAAAUUGUACAGAAAGAAAUUUCUUUUUUCGUUUCUAAAAUACUUGUAAAACAUUGUUAUUAAAUUAAAACUUUA